CUCUCUCAUCUUCCUCUUGCUGCCUCUUUUAAUUUUUCUCCCUUCUUCAUCAAACCCUAACCAUAGCAACAAAGGCACCCAAAUCCCUCUCAUUAUUUCCCAAAAUUAGCGGCAUCCUCAUCAGUCCUCAAACGUGGCCCACCUUGUAUUCUAUGACGGAUCUGACGGUUGCGCCUAUGCCAAACUAUAAUAAAGAAAUCCUUCAAAGCAAUUCCUCACCGUCGACGAGUGGGUUCAGAUUCGACAAAUCUGGGGAAGUUUUCAUAUUCAACUUUAUUAUUUCAUCUUAUCAUUAUAUUUUUUCGAUCAUUUAAGCUAAUCAUUUUUUAUUUAGUUCAGUGUUGUUAAUAUCUUUUUAAAAAAAAUAAAAAUAAAAAAUUACGAUUGUUAAUGGAAGAUUAUUCAUUGUUAUCAAAACCCCUUUAUAGUCUUCAAAAACGUCUGGAUCCAAUGGGCUAUCUGAUCUGAAAAUUGAACCAUUCAAUCACUCUGGUUGGGUUCAUCAUUCAUUCUUCCCAAAUGGUAGGCGUACAAGUUCUAAUAAUAAAUAACUGUCCUCCAAAUGGUAGGCCCAAAUUUAUAUCGAUU
Molecule: long non-coding RNA, 588 nt
Organism: Magnolia sinica
Lineage: Eukaryota; Viridiplantae; Streptophyta; Magnoliopsida; Magnoliales; Magnoliaceae
Exons: 2
Source: RefSeq, a predicted model, not a curated record